Molecule: unclassified non-coding RNA, 267 nt
Filed under: Exophiala sp.
Lineage: Eukaryota; Fungi; Ascomycota; Eurotiomycetes; Chaetothyriales; Herpotrichiellaceae
Description: partial internal transcribed spacer region
Rfam family: Eukaryotic small subunit ribosomal RNA (bases 1-46)
Source: RNAcentral
AAGUCGUAACAAGGUUUCCGUAGGUGAACCUGCGGAAGGAUCAUUAACGAGUUAGGGUCUUCUCGGCCCGACCUCCCAACCCUUUGCUUACUUGACCAUUGUUGCUUCGGCGAGCCCGUCUUUACUGACCGCCGGGGGACCAUAAAACGUCCUCUGGUCCGCGCUCGUCGGUGGCCAACUUUUUAUAAAUUCUUAACUAAACGUGUCAUUAUCUAAGUACUAUUGUUAAUUAAAGCAAAACUUUCAACAACGGAUCUCUUGGUUCUG